Long non-coding RNA from Selaginella moellendorffii, 1624 nucleotides. RefSeq lists it as uncharacterized. The transcript is spliced from 2 exons. The record is from RefSeq and is a predicted model, not a curated record. Lineage: Eukaryota; Viridiplantae; Streptophyta; Lycopodiopsida; Selaginellales; Selaginellaceae.
GGCUAGAGCAGUGAUGGUGGAUGUAACGGACGGGUUGGGGUUGGGGUCGCUGAUCCUUCCACUCUGCCCAUUGUCCAGGUAGGCUGCUUCGCCUCUCUCCACCCUCGCAAGGUAAGUUCGUUUAGGUAGGGCUUUUCUUUGCGUUAGCAACAAGCGAGUAAGACAGAGAUUUGGAAAGACCUAAGAGUUAUGCUAGAGGCGAUCAAGAAAUCGUGUUGAAACUCUCAACGCUUGAAGACACCUCUUUUCGAUUGCAACGCAAAAGGGAGCCAGUGACACAACAAACAACUCAAACAAGCAAAGUGCAAGACAACGGGCCAAGGAACUCUCAACGCGAAGGGAAACGCACUGAUGUGGACAACGCUGUGUGAAUACUAGCGAUCAACGAUACUUAGUUUCACGUUGUCAGGUUCGCGUGUGUUUGGAUUUGUUCUAAUUCCUUGUCAUGAAGAAGCCAAGUGACAUGCUGGUGCUGCUCAACGACGAUAAGAACUGAAAAACGCCAUGUCACAGCGUGUUCCAAGAAGAAAAAUGCUACUAGAUUGGAGAGAUUUUGUGUCAACGUUUUGGAGCUUUGAGUUGUGUUGUUGCUGUGCUCAACGCAAGAUCUGCGACAACUGUGAUCUUCGGAACUUAAAUCCAGCUGAAGUUCUACACGACAGUGGUCCGACCUCAAUGAAAACAGUCGCUGAUCCUUGACCGGCUCAGUCCACUCACCUCGCAAGGUAAGUUCUUUUAGGGCUUUUCUUUGUGUUAGCAAUAAGCGAGUAAGUCAACGAAACAAGAGAGGUUUGCUGGAGACAAGAAAGCGAAGCUGCUUGCAACGAGUUAAGAUGUAUUCUCUAUGAUCAACGAUAAAGAGAGGCUAGAGGCGAUCAAGAAUUCGUGUUGAAACUCUCAACGUUUGAAGACGCUCUUUCUUUUCGAUGCUAUGCUCAACGCAACAAAAGGGAGCCAGUGACACAGUCCAAGUUAAACUGAUAUGCUCGAUCAAACAACGCAAACAAGCUAAGUGCAAACAACGGUCCAAGGAACUCUCAACUCGAAGGGAAACUUAAUAAAACCAACGAUCGUUGGAAGUUGACAUACUUAGCUUCAUGUUGUCAGGUUUGUGUGUGUUUCAAUUUGUUCUAAUUUCUUGUCAUGAAAAAGACAAGUGACAUGUUGGUGCUGCUCAACCACGAUAAGAACUAAAAAACGCUGUAAAAUGCUACGAGAUUGGAGAGAAUCUGUGUCAACAUUUUGGAAAGAUUUUCAGCAAUGUUGCUGCUGUGCUCAACGCAAGACCUGCGAGCUGAGAAACAACGUUGGGCAUUUGCAAUCUCCAGAACUUCAAUCCAGUUGAAGACGUACAUGACAAUGGUCCAACCUCAAUGAAAACAACGAUCAUGAAAACUCUGGCUGUCUAACGAUAUGGAAGUCGAAGUUUAACAGGUUCAUGAGCUGCUUGUUCUAACCUAAAUGUUUGUUCAACGAACUAAGAGGCUUCAACCCCAGAACAACGUUCCAGGGCCAGCUAACGAUGGGUAGAAGGAAGUGUACGCUUUGGCAGUGGCAAAACGAGACAAUCUACACAAAGCACUCUGUGGUUUCCUUGAAAAGAAAUGAAUACAUUUACAAAGUU